This 3934-nucleotide long non-coding RNA is filed under the name Olea europaea subsp. europaea. The record is from RNAcentral. Lineage: Eukaryota; Viridiplantae; Streptophyta; Magnoliopsida; Lamiales; Oleaceae.
UUCGUCCCCUUCUGUGUCUAUAUAUGAAUGUGCUUGAAUUAAUGGAUCAGGUGUAUUUGCUUUUCUUAUUACUACAAGAAAUAAUAGAGCAUGUCAUAACUCAACUUGCAAUGUAAUUUCAAACGAAAAGUUGCAUGUUGUUCCUGAAGGAUGAAACCAUGCUAGAUUAAUUUCUUGAGCUGACCACCACUAUAUCUUUUUAUAUAUAUUUAUUGCAUGAGGUUUAUGUCGAGGUAAUGUGGGAUCUAUGGAAUUGUGUGUUGAUGUGGAUGACUGAGCAUGCUGUUUAUUUUGUAUGCAGUACAUUGUGAGAGGAGGAAGAAAUUUGUUCAAGCUGUUGCCUGAUGCAUUCAAGGGUAUCAAGCAUAUUGGGGUGAUCGGAUGGGGCUCCCAAGUAUAUUUAUCUGUUGAUUGCUCCACAAUUUUUUAUUUUUAUUGAAUUUAUUUCUUGUCCAGUCGUAUCUUUUAUCCCUCAUUGAUUUAUCUUGUGCAUUCUUUGGUUAAUUUUGUUGUGCUUAGCAAUUGAAUUAGCCACUAUUCUGUUUCGAUUGUGAAAUUUCUUAAUUAGAAUACUCAUUCAAGUGAUGGUCAUUGGUUUCUAUGCUAAUGCUCCUUUGUUGUUUUUUUUUUCCUAAAGAGUUUCCGUUCAUACUUUUAUGUUAGGUUAAUAAAGUUUGAAAAGGAAUGAAAUGCAUAUUGUAUCAUAUGUGACUCUUCACCAAACCAUCUGUUUUUCUGUUCCAAAAAUGCCUUGGGAAAUGAUAUUGGAAUAUUGGUGGAAAAAUGUUCAAGUCAAUCCUGUCAUAACUGCGGUCUAGCGCACUUGGCGUCCUGCGUCCCAAUCAUUGAUGCAUUGAAAUGUGGACAUCUUCCCUUUCUCGAGCUUUAUUUUUUAAUUAUAGUGAAUUUGCGUCUGCAUAAAAGUCAAACCGCUCUCUUGAUGUUCUACUGAUUUCUGUCAAGAUAAUAUGAACUCUUUUGCCUUUGUGUAGGGACCAGCUCAAGCUCAGAACUUAAGGGAUUCUCUUGCUGAAGCAAAAUCUGAUAUUGUGGUCAAGGUAAUUUGUUAUUUUUUCUACUUUUGUCAUAUUCUCAAGAAAUAAUGUGAGUUUUUCCUCACAUGAAGCUUGUCCUCAUAUUGUUCAUGCAGAUUGGUUUGAGGAAGGGUUCUUCCUCAUUCGCUGAGGCUCGUGCUGUUGGGUUUUCUGAAGAAAAUGGAACCCUGGGGGACAUAUGGGACACAGUCUCUGGCAGUGAUUUGGUGCUGCUCUUGAUAUCCGAUGCAGCUCAGGUAUCAAAUUGCCCUGUUUAUUUAGCCAUGAGGGAUUUGGUGUCAUCCUUUUUACGUGGCUCACUCUGUAUCUAAAAAUUAAUGCUUGAAUUUUUCGUUUGGUGUAAAAAAUGAUUUUUACAGGAAUUAGUAAAUGAGAGUGUGUCUCCUCUUUUUUUUUUGUUAUCAAUCAUUUUAUCAGCUUCUGAGUUUUUUCCAUUUGAAUACUGAUUAAAAUGUUACAAAAUUUGUUCAUCUUAAUUUUAUGGGAUAACUCAUUCUUAAUUUUGUCAUUCGUUGCAGGCUGAUAAUUAUGAGAAAGUGUUCUCCUACAUGAAACCUAAUAGCGUACUUGGACUUUCCCAUGGAUUCCUUUUGGGCCAUUUGCAGUCAUUGGGCCUUGACUUUCCAAAAAACAUCAGCGUGAUAGCUGUAUGUCCGAAGGGAAUGGGACCCUCUGUGAGAAGGCUAUAUGUGCAGGGGAAAGAAAUCAAUGGUGCUGGCAUUAAUUCGAGUUUUGCUGUCCACCAGGUUUGUGCAUCUUUGAGUUUGUGGAACGUGUAGUGGGAAUGUAUGCACAUUUGAGGUUCUUGAUACAUGAGAUAUGAUGGUUUUUGGCAUUCAUGUUUAGGAUGUUGAUGGCAGAGCUACAGAUGUUGCCCUUGGAUGGUCAGUUGCCCUUGGUUCUCCUUUUACUUUUGCCACUACUUUGGAGCAAGAGUACAAGAGUGAUAUUUUUGGGGAGAGAGGUAAGAGUAGUUUUUAAUUUCACUAAUUUCUUUUUGACUCGACAAUGAAUCCUUAAUGUCAACUUUCUGAUCAAUAGGCAUUUUACUCGGUGCUGUACAUGGUAUUGUGGAAUCAUUGUUCAGGAGAUACACUGAAAAUGGAAUGAGCGAGGAUCUUGCCUACAAGAACACUGUGGAGUGCAUAACAGGAACUAUUUCUAGAACUAUAUCAACAAAGGUUAGUUUUACUAGCAUUAGUUUUUCAUCCUACUUUAUCCACUCUUGCUAUAUAUCUGUUGUUUCAUACUUUAUUUGAUCCUUUCCACUACUUUUUGUGCUUGAUGUAUCUCCUAAUUCAUUUUUUAUGUUGAAUUUUGUGAUAGGGUAUGCUGGCUGUCUACAAUUCAUUGACUGAAGAUGGAAAAAAGGAGUUUGAGACUGCAUAUAGCGCUUCAUAUUAUCCCUGCAUGGACAUCUUAUACGAGUGCUAUGAAGAUGUAGCCAGUUGCAGUGAGAUCAGGAGUGUCGUCUUGGCUGGACGUCGCUUUUAUGUAAGAUUCUAUUUCUAUUUUCACAAUUUAAGCAUUGUGAUUUAUUUAUUUUUAUCGUUCUUUUUUCUCUUCUUCCAUGCAGGAGAAGGAAGGUUUACCAGCUUUUCCGAUGGGGAACAUCGACCAGACACGAAUGUGGAAAGUUGGUGAGAAAGUUCGAGCAGCACGUCCAGCAGGUGACUUGGGACCUUUGUAUCCUUUCACUGCAGGUGUCUAUGUGGCAUUGAUGAUGGCUCAGGUGUGGAUUCUUUCAGAUCUUAACUUAAAUUUAUUUCUUAUUUACGUGCUUCUUAAAUAGCAUAUUCUAGUUCUACGCAGACUAGAAGUGAGAUUACCAUGUGAAAUCUGUGUUGCUGAUAGUAGUAAUCGCAGACUGUUAAUUGGUUGAUCUGAAAGAGUGAAAGUGGUAAUGCAUACUUAUGUUUGAUCUCUGCUCAAAUGCAUGUUGCUCGAAUUUGUUUCAAGUGUCUAUUCAGUUUACUUCAGCAAGACGAAUGAUAUUUUAGCUGGAAAAAAUGGAUUAGCAAAUAUAUUUUGUUGCACCUUUUAACUGAUGAUAAUAUCCCUGAAAUUACUCUGAAUGUGAAUGUAGAUUGAGAUUCUAAGGAAGAAAGGGCACUCCUACUCAGAGAUUAUCAACGAGAGUGUCAUUGAGUCUGUGGAUUCUUUGAAUCCUUUCAUGCAUGCUCGAGGCGUUUCAUUCAUGGUUGACAAUUGUUCAACAACAGCACGGCUAGGAUCGAGGAAGUGGGCCCCUCGUUUUGACUACAUUCUCACGCAGCAGGCUUUGGUAGCAGUGGAUAAAGGUGCUCCCAUUAACCAAGAUCUCAUUAGCAACUUCCUAUCAGAUCCUGUACAUGGAGCUAUUGAAGUAUGUGCCCAAUUGAGACCUACUGUGGACAUAUCAGUGCCCCCGGAUGCUGAUUUUGUCCGUCCUGAGUUGCGUCAGUCGAGCAACUGAGGUUUUGAAGUUCAAUCUCCUAAGAAGCUCUUCUCCAUGGAAUUGAGGAGAGAUUCUUCAAACCAAGCAGAGAUUUGAAGUAAUGUUUCGAGUGAGCCAGGUAUCCAGGUGUCUUAAAUUAAAGGUCCUUCGUGAUUUUCUCUAUCUCCUCUAGGAGGAUUAUGCAGUUAUAGUAGCAGAAUGGUCCUGUAUUUUAACGUAUCUUGCGUUAGUCGGGCUCUGUAUGUGUUUUGAGUUGGUAAUAUUGCAAUAAUCAGUUUUUAUUCUGAACAAUUGACUUGGAAGGUAUUAUGAGAGGGAAUAAUUCAUAUAUUUAAUUUAUGAUGUGGCGUUUUAGAGUAAGCAUCAACACGAGGACAUUUUAAGGGUGCGUUUGAUUAUCAAUAUUUUUUAUGAAAAUAUGUUUUUUUUAUCUAAAUUCCUA